AUUGAACGCUGGCGGCAGGCCUAACACAUGCAAGUCGAACGAGUGGCGGACGGGCGAGUAACGUCUGGGAAACUGCCUGAUGGAGGGGGAUAACUACUGGAAACGGUAGCUAAUACCGCAUACCAUCAGAUGUGCCUAGAUGGGAUUAGUUUGUUGGUGGGGUAACGGCUCACCAAUGCGACGAUCCCUAGCCGGGCUGAGAGGCUGACCAGCCACACUGGAACUGAGACGGGGUCCAGACUCCUACGGGAGGCAACAGUGGGAAAUAUUGCACAAUGGGCGCAAUCCUGAUGCAGCCAUGCCGCGUGUAUGAAGAAGGCCUUCGGGUUGUAAAGUACUUUCAGCGGGGAGGCGUUACCCGCAGAAGAAGCACCGGCUAACUCCGUGCAAGCCGCCGCGGUAUUC
RNAcentral lists this ribosomal RNA (405 nucleotides) under uncultured bacterium. Its description in RNAcentral is "partial 16S ribosomal RNA". It matches the Rfam family "Bacterial small subunit ribosomal RNA", at positions 30 to 525 of the family's 1533-position model. The record is from RNAcentral.